Molecule: long non-coding RNA, 574 nt
Organism: Mugil cephalus (flathead mullet)
Lineage: Eukaryota; Metazoa; Chordata; Actinopteri; Mugiliformes; Mugilidae
Exons: 3
Source: RefSeq, a predicted model, not a curated record
CAUUGGGGUGCAAUGUCAGAGCAUGUUCUCUGUGUGCGUGACAAGAUAGAGGCUUGUGUGUCUUUUUCUCUGUUCUGAACGGACUAUUCUGCAGGUUUAUUAGUUUUAUCCAGGCUGAUCAACCUAGAGCAAACUUACUCUCAGUGGCAGCAUUGGCAAAAGGUUAAUAGCCCGUUGGAGGAACGAGUGGACAAAGACGUCCAUCCAGAAGAGAACGAGAGCAAGACAAUACACUAAAUAUGAAGAGAGUGACGGACACUCGCAAGUAGGGAAGCUGUUGACAUGGAACUGCACUUACUGUGUGAGACUGUUAACAAGACGUGAGAAGUUUUGUGUGCCGUGGGUGUGUGAUUCACAGCGGGUGAAAUCAUGUGGAGCAGGGCAGUGAUUCCCAACUUCAGGGCAGACUCGGGAGCGUGCUUCUACAUUUGGCCAGGAGAUGUGCACGGCUCUCCUUCGGGUUCUGGGCACGCUGGUCAGACGAGGGCCAUGGGUGAUGGACGGACAACUCCUACUUGGCACCAUACCAGCCCUGGGAGGAAAAAAAAAGUCACAUGCAUUUUUAUAAUCUAAC